GGGGACCAUCAGCUGCUCCCUGGGUUUUGCUGGUUUUUCUGCCUGGGCUUUAGGAAACCAGCUCAUCUGGGGCAGGCAAACCUGCCAGUGUGAAAUGCGAGGCUCCAGAGGAACAGGCAAAACCAGAUCUGCUGGUCUGGGGUGGGAUGGAAAGGGAAAAAGCUGAGGGUUGGCACGGAGGCAGCACCCAUGGAGGCAGCACCCACGGCAGGAGCUGCACAGGUGCUGGGUGGCUCCCCCAGACAGGGCUUGCAGAGCCCACCCCAUCUCUUGGAAACCAGCAGGGUUGGUCCCCAGGGACAGAGGUCCCCUGUGUUCCCCAGGUGUGACUGUCUCGUGCCCCUUGGUGAAAUGUCGACAAUCCUGAAAUGGUUUGGACGGGAGGAUAAGGAGAAAGAGGAGGACAGGAAAGAGAAGGAAGAGAAGGAGAAGGAAAAGACUGAGGGAGAAAAGGAGAAGGAGAAGCAGAAGAGGAGGAAGAAGGAAGAAGAAAAGGUAGGGGAAUGA
Molecule: long non-coding RNA, 507 nt
Filed under: Junco hyemalis (dark-eyed junco)
Lineage: Eukaryota; Metazoa; Chordata; Aves; Passeriformes; Passerellidae
Description: lncRNA (ENSJHYG00000001631.1)
Source: RNAcentral